Molecule: unclassified non-coding RNA, 2168 nt
Filed under: Hevea brasiliensis (rubber tree)
Lineage: Eukaryota; Viridiplantae; Streptophyta; Magnoliopsida; Malpighiales; Euphorbiaceae
Source: RNAcentral
AUAUAUAAAAUCCAUAUUGACUUUACGUAACGAUCAUUAUUUUCACUUUCAAAGUUACCAGUAAUGUUCUUGAGCUGGAGAAAAAAGGAAGAAGAAAGCACAAAAGACCAAAUUUCCAGAUAGCCAAAGCUAACUCCUUAAAUCUCAUUAAAAAUUAACUAUACAACCAAGUGGUUUGCUGAAGUGGUGUGCCAAGUAGUGCAGAUUAGAAGCAGAAGGCUCACAAUUUAUAUAAGAUAAUCAAUCAUUUUCUUUUAUGUAUUCUAUUUUUGUAAUUACAAAGAUCAAGGGUUUAAAGUAAAAUUGAAAAGGUGAAAACAAAAGUAUGCUACAAACAAUCAAGGACAGUAAAACCCCUCUAAUAUGACAAAUAUUUUUACAGGUACUAACAACUCCCUCCAAGUGUCUAGACUAUGAUGGGAAAGAUGACAAACCUACAUGAUUACUCCUUUCAAGUGGGAGCUUUCCCAUCUCGUAACUGCCUGGAUUGUAGGCUGGAACUUCUUCAGUAGUCUCUGCCCUUUCAAGCUCUUGCAAAGCUCUUUUUGCGUAAACAGUGAAAGCAACUGUGGUAAUGAUAGCGAUAAUGCCGGAGAUGACAUUAUAUAUGAUUUCCAAAGUAGUCAAGUGAUAGUUCCCAUAUUGCACAUCAGCAAAUGUCCUUAUUAACCUACCACUGCACAAAAUUAUAGCAGCAAUUAGAGAACGGCGAUGGAGGGAGGGAAAGAAAAGCACAUUUGUAAUUUCCUAAGUAAGACAGUGAAACAACAUCAGCUGAAAAGAUCUUUCUUUUGGCUAAAAAAUAUAUGAAAAAACAUUUCAGAACUCUAGAUUUUUUCCAUAUAUUUAGGUUGUUUCCAAAUAUUAUAUAGAGAUUUCUCCUGCAGCUAACAUUACAACAAAUUCACUGCAUAUUUUUGUUAAAUGAAAACUAAUAUGCUGAUCAAACACUUAUAAGAAUAAACAAAUUAAAGAAAAAAAAGAAAGAAGGACGGACCUAUAGAUAUAGAUAAAAGCUUCUGGCACCAUUCCAGCAACUGAACCACAUAAAUAUGGCCAAAAUCUCAUACUUGUUAUCACAAUCGCAUAGUUGAAAAUUGUGUAUGGAAAUGGUGAAACUCUAAAGAGUGCAACUACUUGAAAUUGAUGGAACCAACUCCCUUCCCCAGCAAGCCUGAUCAUAGCAGCUUUCUGGGGCCAUCUUUUUAGCCAUUGCUGAACAUAAAUAGUAAGUAGUCUAUUUCAUCAUAGAAAUCUUAAAAGAAAAAGAGGAUCAUCAAAUAAAAAUCACUGAUCUUACAUGGAUGCGGUCACGAAACAGUAGCCCUAUCAAAUAGGGUAAGAUCAUUCCAAUAGUAGUUCCAACCAUAAUUAUGACAAACCCGAUACCAUAUCCAAAAAUCAUCCCAGCCAACCACAUGGAAGGUCCUGAAGGAAUUAAAAACACAGGGAACAAGGCCAGAGAAGCAACUAGCACAAGUGCAAGGACUGGACGGCCAAAGGCAGUUGCUUCCCAUUGCAUGAUAGGCAAGAGAACCUUCUCAAAAAGAAAUGGCACUCCCCAUUUCAAUAAAAUAAGAAGAAGUAUAAUCAGGAGAAUGCAUAGUGCCAAAGCUUUGAUCCACCAAAUUAAAGAUUUAAUCCUUGCAUUUGCUUCAGUUUGCAAUAUGUGGGUGUCUUCAGGUUCAGCUACUCCUGGCUCAUUGGAAAUAACAAGCCUAACAUAUUCACUGUCCCUUAAAUUCACACGGUGAUGCUCAGAGUUUGCAGCUUCUUUGCCAGACUCCUCAGAGGUCUCUGGCAUUUUUACUAGGAACCCCUGAGGCUCUCUCUCUCUCUAUAUAUAAAAAUCAAUCUAUCUGUAAUGGAAAUUGAGAAGAGGAAAUGCAAAUCGUACAAGCCGUCAGAGAAGAAGUCGCCGACGAUCGUAGGUGGCUUGAUCUUCACACUUGUUAAUUAAACAACAACAAAAACCACCAGAACCGGGAAAUGAAAAGAAAGGAAAUGCAAAUUAAAAAAAGAAAAAGCAAAUCCAAUUCCAAAUUCAAAUUCAAAAACGUAGAACAGUGGGCAGCCGAUCCAAAUUGCUGACGUCUGAAAAAGAUUGAACUUGAAGGAAAAAAGGUUGUCUUGUCUGGAUAAUAUAUGCGAGUAAAUGAAGUUUCCGC